RNAcentral lists this ribosomal RNA (533 nucleotides) under uncultured bacterium. RNAcentral describes it as "bacterial SSU rRNA". It matches the Rfam family "Bacterial small subunit ribosomal RNA", at positions 975 to 1509 of the family's 1533-position model. The record is from RNAcentral.
UUGGCCUUGACAUACUAAGAACUUCCAGAGAUGGAUUGGUGCCUUCGGGAACUUAGAUACAGGUGCUGCAUGGCUGUCGUCAGCUCGUGUCGUGAGAUGUUGGGUUAAGUCCGCAACGAGCGCAACCCUUUUCCUUAUUUGCCAGCGGGUAAUGCCGGGAACUUUAAGGAUACUGCCAGUGACAAACUGGAGGAAGGCGGGGACGACGUCAAGUCAUCAUGGCCCUUACGGCCAGGGCUACACACGUGCUACAAUGGUCGGUACAAAGGGUUGCUACCUCGCGAGAGGAUGCUAAUCUCAAAAAGCCGAUCGUAGUCCGGAUCGCAGUCUGCAACUCGACUGCGUGAAGUCGGAAUCGCUAGUAAUCGCGGAUCAGAAUGCCGCGGUGAAUACGUUCCCGGGCCUUGUACACACCGCCCGUCACACCAUGGGAGUUUGUUGCACCAGAAGUAGGUAGUCUAACCGCAAGGAGGACGCUUACCACGGUGUGGCCGAUGACUGGGGUGAAGUCGUAACAAGGUAAGCGUAGAUGA